Molecule: long non-coding RNA, 2487 nt
Filed under: Canis lupus familiaris (dog)
Lineage: Eukaryota; Metazoa; Chordata; Mammalia; Carnivora; Canidae
Description: lncRNA (ENSCAFG00030023156.1)
Source: RNAcentral
AUGUCUCAGGUGGGUGGUGCUCAAGAGAUGUGCCAGGCUGCACGUGCAGCUGAUCUGCUCCAGAUUUCCAGGAUGGACAAGGAGAAGGCCUAUGGCAAAGCUGCAUCUGAAGGUUUGCUCUGGGAUUCUUGUGGCUUGGAACCACCAGGCUGGAUGCUUCACUUUCUCUCUGGCAGCAGUAUAGCUGUGGCUCUGGGGAAGAGUUUUGUACCUCCGAAGUGGGUGUUCCUGGUUCGCCCUGAGGCUCCUGAGUGAGUGAUGGGCAUCUUAAGAUGCAAAACCUCAUGAAGAAGAGUUCACAACCGGGUACGCCGCGAGAGGACCAGCUCUUUGGAGAUGAAAUGCAGCACAUGUUAAGUCAUGGGUUCAAGUCAAACAUGCUCUAACGGACACAUAGUGGAACCAAAGGCAUAGUUUAGCAGCAGGUCUUCCGGAAAACAAGCAACCAACUCAAGCAAAACCCUGACUUGCUAAGACAGAAGGUGGGAGUGGGAGCAGCUUUGACAAGGUCAGGUUAUUCUACAUAUUGCGUUUGUGUAAAUUAGAGCAAGAGCCCCCUGCUGGGUGGAUGUGGCACUGCUAGACCAUGGCUUGGCAGGUCCAAGGCAACUUUCUUGACAGAAAAAAUGCCUUUGGGGAUGGAUUCCGCUGAGUGCCAGAGCACACGAUUUGGUGAGGUGAGGAUUUCAGCCCUCAUUCACCCCAUCUGCUGGGUGCCAUUGUGCAGUGUGCACGCCGUACAACUCUACAUGACAGUCCUGAGCUUUUAGCUGACUGUGUGCUCGGCACUACCAGCAAGAAAAUGUAGAUUGUGCAUUUCAUGAAGGUGAGGGCUAGGUCAGGGCUCUUUACCCCUGUGUCUCCUGGCACUAAAUACAGUGCUUGGUACAGAGCAGGCAUUCAGAAAUGCUUGUUGAAAAAGUGGAUGAAUGAAUUGUAAAUGUAUCAUAGAUGGUCUGGCAUGCCACAGUCAAUAAGUGUUUGCCAAACGAAUGAAUGACUACUCCUGUCAAGUCUUCUGUGAACUUCCGUGGCACCACAGAAGGAGAGGCAGUAGAGCAUACAAGCUUGAACAAGCCUAUUUGGAUUAAAUCCCAGUCUUCUACUGAUUAGCUGUGUAAUCUUGGGCAAGUUACUGCUACUUUCUGUGCCUCUGUUUCAUCUUCUGUAAAAUGGGGGCAAUUAAUAGGGCUUACUGUCAGAGGGCUCUUAUGUAGAUCAAUGUACCCCUCAAUCAUGUUAGCUACCUGUUGUUAUCAUGACCAGAGAUGAUAGGUCCCCAAUGCUCUGUGCUGGUCAGACCUCCUGGAGAGCUGUGUUGCCUUCUGGGUGCCGUCUUCUAGAAGAGACAAUGACAGCUGCCUUGACCAUGAAAGCCCCACAGGAACUUCCUUAUAAAGAACUAGUGAAUGAAUAAAGUGUGUCCCACAAAAGUUGUUCAGAGUAGGGGUAAUUUAGGAUGGAUAAUAUAAUAUCUAGUAAGCUCUUUUUUUUUUUUCUAGUCUAGGCCCUGUAGCGUAAACUUUUUUACAUAAACUCACUAAUUAAAAAGCUCCACUUUGACCCCAGUAGCCCCUCAGUGAUUGGAGGGGAGAGACCCACAGUCCCAGGGAUGAGCUCUCCUUGGAUUUAUCCAAUCUCAUACAGAUUGGGAGCCAUUCCCCCAGGGAUUGGUUCAGAGGUGGACAGGUGACCCGUUUUGGACCAAUGAGAUGAGAGAUGUUGGCUGGAGGGUUGUGGGAGAAGCUACCUGGACAUGAUGCCUGCCUGCCUCCUUGUGAGAAGGCCGUCCUGGAAGCCUCCCAAUAGCUGCCUUGUCUCCAUGGAAGGUUCCAGCCUUGGUUUGGAGCAGCUCCCCUCGACGACAGGGAGGGCAGUUGGCCAUCUGGGAUGAUGCUGCCACCUCUGACACAGCUCUCCUGCUGGCCUCGUCCAUCACCUGGACCAUUGAAGUCCCGCUGAGGUUUUAGCUAGCUCGAGCUCAGUUUUCUGUUAUCUUCUGGAGGAUGGAUGGCUCCUCACUGGUACCCUGGCUCUUCAUUUCUUCCUUUUCCAGUCUGCUCCUUAUGGUAUGAACCUUAUACCUUGAAUUUGGCAGGGCUCAGUGUUUGGAAGCUUUAAAGCCUCUCUCAUUUCUUGCAUCUCAUUUCUUCCUCAGAGCCACCUGUCCCCUGAGUCUGUGCAUGCGUACCUAAGUAGCAGGGCUGAGGAAUGCAGAGACAAAGGGCUCCAGAAGAUAGAAGGGGAAAGCAUGGGUUAAGAUCUUUAAAUGUAGUAGCUGCUGCACUGUGUGAGGCACAGUACUAAGAGUUUUACCUGUGUUGCUUUUCACUUUUCCAGCCCUGUGGCAAAUACUGUGGCUAUUGCCAUUCACAGAUGAGGAAACCGAGACCCCAGGUUGGUCUGUCACCCCUCGGAGUCACACAUGUGGUAAGCAGCCUCAUUUUGUGUUGACCCCACAGAGCUGAUGGCUCCUAAUCAGGAGCU